GGGGAAUAUUGGACAAUGGGCGCAAGCCUGAUCCAGCCAUGCCGCGUGAGUGAUGAAGGCCCUAGGGUUGUAAAGCUCUUUCACCGGUGAAGAUAAUGACGGUAACCGGAGAAGAAGCCCCGGCUAACUUCGUGCCAGCAGCCGCGGUAAUACGAAGGGGGCUAGCGUUGUUCGGAAUUACUGGGCGUAAAGCGCACGUAGGCGGAUAUUUAAGUCAGGGGUGAAAUCCCAGAGCUCAACUCUGGAACUGCCUUUGAUACUGGGUAUCUCGAGUAUGGAAGAGGUGAGUGGAAUUCCGAGUGUAGAGGUGAAAUUCGUAGAUAUUCGGAGGAACACCAGUGGCGAAGGCGGCUCACUGGUCCAUUACUGACGCUGAGGUGCGAAAGCGUGGGGAGCAAAC
RNAcentral lists this ribosomal RNA (400 nucleotides) under uncultured bacterium. Its description in RNAcentral is "bacterial SSU rRNA". It matches the Rfam family "Bacterial small subunit ribosomal RNA", at positions 356 to 773 of the family's 1533-position model. The record is from RNAcentral.